Molecule: transfer RNA, 64 nt
Filed under: Paragavialidium sichuanense
Lineage: Eukaryota; Metazoa; Arthropoda; Insecta; Orthoptera; Tetrigidae
Description: tRNA-Arg
Source: RNAcentral
AAUAAUGAAGCUAUACCAAGCAGUCAGUUUCGACCUGAAAUAUAGGCAAAUCACGCCCUUAUUA